GCUUUGGUGGGGUAGUGGUAACCUGGGUCGUUGCCAUGGGCCAUGACUUGUGAUAGUCGUUCUAGUUUAUUCGACCCGCCGGGGGUUCGAUUCCCUCCCAAAGCA
Roridomyces roridus is the source of this 105-nucleotide non-coding RNA. The record is from the annotation of a GenBank genome assembly. Lineage: Eukaryota; Fungi; Basidiomycota; Agaricomycetes; Agaricales; Mycenaceae.